This 253-nucleotide ribosomal RNA is filed under the name uncultured bacterium. Its description in RNAcentral is "partial 16S ribosomal RNA". It matches the Rfam family "Bacterial small subunit ribosomal RNA", at positions 524 to 776 of the family's 1533-position model. The record is from RNAcentral.
UACGAAGGGGGCGAGCGUUGUUCGGAUUUACUGGGCGUAAAGGGCGCGUAGGCGGCCUUGUCAGUCAGGCGUGAAAGCCCCGGGCUCAACCUGGGAACGGCGCUUGGGACGGCGAGGCUGGAGUUCGGGAGAGGAGAGUGGAAUUCCCAGUGUAGCGGUGAAAUGCGCAGAUAUCAGGAGGAACACCAAUGGCGAAGGCAGCACUCUGGGACGUGACUGACGCUGAGACGCGAAAGCGUGGGGAGCAAACAGU